UACAGAGGGUGCGAGCGUUAAUCGGAAUUACUGGGCGUAAAGCGUGCGUAGACGGUUAUUUAAGUCGGAUGUGAAAGCCCCGGGCUCAACCUGGGAAUUGCAUUCGAGACUGAAUAGCUAGGGUGCGGUAGAGGGAAGCGGAAUUUCCGGUGUAGCGGUGAAAUGCGUAGAUAUCGAGAGGAACACCUGCGGCGAAGGCGGGUUGCUGGGCUGACACUGACGCUGAUGCGCGAAAGCCAGGGGAGCGAACGGG
RNAcentral lists this ribosomal RNA (253 nucleotides) under uncultured bacterium. RNAcentral describes it as "partial 16S ribosomal RNA". It matches the Rfam family "Bacterial small subunit ribosomal RNA", at positions 524 to 776 of the family's 1533-position model. The record is from RNAcentral.